AGCGAACGCUGGCGGCAGGCUUAACACAUGCAAGUCGAGCGGGCAUCCUUGUGGUGUCAGCGGCAGACGGGUGAGUAACGCGUGGGAACGUGCCCUUCGGUUCGGAAUAACUCAGGGAAACUUGAGCUAAUACCGGAUACGUGCGAGAGCAGAAAGGUUUAUCUGCCGAAGGAUCGGCCCGCGUCUGAUUAGCUAGUUGGUGAGGUUAUGGCUCACCAAGGCGACGAUCAGUAGCUGGUCUGAGAGGAUGAUCAGCCACACUGGGACUGAGACACGGCCCAGACUUCUACGGGAGGCAGCAGUGGGGAAUAUUGGACAAUGGGGGCAACCCUGAUCCAGCCAUGCCGCGUGAGUGAUGACGGCCUUAGGGUUGUAAAGCUCUUUUCUUCGGGACGAUAAUGACGGUACCGGAGGAAUAAGCCCCGGCUAACUUCGUG
This 437-nucleotide ribosomal RNA is filed under the name uncultured bacterium. RNAcentral describes it as "partial 16S ribosomal RNA". It matches the Rfam family "Bacterial small subunit ribosomal RNA", at positions 29 to 507 of the family's 1533-position model. The record is from RNAcentral.